AUUGAACGCUGGCGGCAUGCUUUACACAUGCAAGUCGGACGGCAGCACAGAGAAGCUUGCUUCUUGGGUGGCGAGUGGCGAACGGGUGAGUAAUAUAUCGGAACGUACCGAGUAAUGGGGGAUAACUAAUCGAAAGAUUAGCUAAUACCGCAUAUUCUCUGAGGAGGAAAGCAGGGGACCUUCGGGCCUUGCGUUAUUCGAGCGGCCGAUAUCUGAUUAGCUAGUUGGUGGGGUAAAGGCCUACCAAGGCGACGAUCAGUAGCGGGUCUGAGAGGAUGAUCGGCCACACUGGGACUGAGACACGGCCCAGACUCCUACGGGAGGCAGCAGUGGGGAAUUUUGGACAAUGGGCGCAAGCCUGAUACAGCCAUGCCGCGUGUCUGAAGAGGGCCUUCGGGUUGUAAAGGACUUUUGUCAGGGAAGAAAAGGCUGUUGCUAAUACCGACAGCUGAUGACGGUACCUGAAGAAUAAGCACCGGCUAACUACGUG
RNAcentral lists this ribosomal RNA (490 nucleotides) under uncultured bacterium. RNAcentral describes it as "partial 16S ribosomal RNA". It matches the Rfam family "Bacterial small subunit ribosomal RNA", at positions 30 to 507 of the family's 1533-position model. The record is from RNAcentral.